This 494-nucleotide ribosomal RNA is filed under the name uncultured Chloroflexota bacterium. RNAcentral describes it as "bacterial SSU rRNA". It matches the Rfam family "Bacterial small subunit ribosomal RNA", at positions 355 to 864 of the family's 1533-position model. The record is from RNAcentral. Lineage: Bacteria; Bacillati; Chloroflexota.
UAGGGAAUAUUGCACAAUGGGCGAAAGCCUGAUGCAGCAACGCCGCGUGCGCGAUGAAGGUCUUCGGAUCGUAAAGCGCUUUUCUGCGAGAUGAGAAAGGACAGUAUCGUAGGAAUAAGUCUCGGCUAACUACGUGCCAGCAGCCGCGGUAACACGUAGGAGGCGAGCGUUAUCCGGAUUCACUGGGCGUAAAGCGCGUGCAGGCGGUUUGGUAAGUUGGGCGUGAAGGCUCCCGGCUCAACUGGGAGAGGUCGUUCAAUACUACCGAACUAGAGAACAGAAGAGGAAGAUGGAAUUCCCGGUGUAGUGGUGAAAUGCGUAGAUAUCGGGAGGAACACCAGUGGCGAAGGCGAUCUUCUGGUCUGUUUCUGACGCUCAGACGCGACAGCUAGGGGUAUAAACGGGAUUAGAGACCCCGGUAAUCCUAGCCGUAAACGAUGUGAACUUGGCGUCGGUGGCUUAAACACCAUCGGUGCCGAAGCAAACGCGAUAAG